CAGUCGCCGCGGUAAUACGAAGGGUGCAAGCGUUAAUCGGAAUUACUGGGCGUAAAGCGUGCGUAGGCGGUAAGUUAAGUCUGCUGUGAAAUCCCCGGGCUCAACCUGGGAAUGGCAGUGGAUACUGGCUCGCUAGAGUGUGUCAGAGGAUGGUGGAAUUCCCGGUGUAGCGGUGAAAUGCGUAGAGAUCGGGAGGAACAUCAGUGGCGAAGGCGGCCAUCUGGGACAACACUGACGCUGAGGCACGAAAGCGUGGGGAGCAAACAGGAUUAGAUACCCCCGUAGUCCCUGUCUCUUAUAC
Molecule: ribosomal RNA, 301 nt
Filed under: uncultured bacterium
Lineage: Bacteria
Description: partial 16S ribosomal RNA
Rfam family: Bacterial small subunit ribosomal RNA
Source: RNAcentral